UCCAGGUGGUCUCCCUGGGCUCUGUCCAGGUGGCAUUCUCUCCCGGGGCUCUGUCCAGGUGGCAUAGGGGAGCAUAGGGCUCUGCCCCGUGACGUACAGUCCCUUUCCACGACGUUGGAGAUGAAGCCAGGCCUUGUGUCUGCGCCUGCAUGUUCCUACAACUUCUCAGAGUCCUGUGGACGAUGACUGAGGAGACAAACCAUGCAGGAGACAUCU
This 216-nucleotide small nucleolar RNA is filed under the name Suricata suricatta (meerkat). Its description in RNAcentral is "Small nucleolar RNA SNORA73 family (ENSSSUG00005016323.1)". It matches the Rfam family "Small nucleolar RNA SNORA73 family". From Rfam's summary of the family: U17 (SNORA73A and SNORA73B) also known as E1 belongs to the H/ACA class of small nucleolar RNAs (snoRNAs). Vertebrate U17 is intron-encoded and ranges in length from 200-230 nucleotides, longer than most snoRNAs. It is one of the most abundant snoRNAs in human cells and is essential for the cleavage of pre-rRNA within the 5' external transcribed spacer (ETS). The record is from Rfam by way of RNAcentral. Lineage: Eukaryota; Metazoa; Chordata; Mammalia; Carnivora; Herpestidae.